CUUUACUGUAGCCUGGAAUUGGGUUCGGGCUUCUCUUGCGCAGUAUAGGUGGGAGGCAUUGAAGUCAUCCUUGUGGGGAUGAUGGAGCCAUCGGUGAGAUACCACUCUAGAGAGGCUAGAAUUCUAACUGGUUCCCGUGAAUCCGGGAACAAGACAGUUUCAGGUGGGCAGUUUGACUGGGGCGGUCGCCUCCUAAAUGGUAACGGAGGCGCGCAAAGGUUCUCUCAGGCUGGUUGGAAAUCAGCCGUAGAGUGUAAAAGCACAAGAGAGCUUGACUGUGAGACGAACAUGUCGAGCAGGGACGAAAGUCGGCUUUAGUGAUCCGACGGCGCUGCGUGGAAAGGCCGUCGCUAAACGGAUAAAAGUUA
RNAcentral lists this ribosomal RNA (368 nucleotides) under uncultured organism. RNAcentral's name for it is "bacterial LSU rRNA". It matches the Rfam family "Bacterial large subunit ribosomal RNA", at positions 2099 to 2465 of the family's 2925-position model. The record is from RNAcentral.